CAACCUGCCUUCGAGAGGGGGAUAACGCACCGAAAGGUGUGCUAAUACCGCAUAAAGUUUAGCAGUCGCAUGAGUGUUAAAUGAAAGUGCGGGAGUACCUACGGGUAUCCGCACACUCGAAGAGGGAUCUAUAUCCUAUUAGCUAGUUGGUGGGGUAAAGGCCUACCAAGGCGAUGAUGGGUAGCCGGCCUGAGAGGGUGUCCGGCCACAUGGGCACUGAGACACGGCCCGACUCCUACGGGAGGCAGCAGUAGGGAAUCUUGGGCAAUGGGCGAAAGCCUGACCCAGCGACACCGCGUGGAUGAAGAAGGCCUUCGGGUUGUAAAAUCCUAACACAUAUUAGGAAGGUUUGUUGCCGAAUAAGUAACGAACUUGACGAAGGUAUGAGAUGAAGUCAUGGCUAACUCUGUGCCAGCAGCCGCGGUAAUACAGAGAUGACAACCGUUGUUCGGAAUCACUGGGCUUAAAGAGCACGUAGGCGGGACGAUAAGUCGGUUGUGAAAGUUCACGGCUCACCCGUGAAAGGUCAACCGAAACUAUAGUUCUUGAGGUCGGUAGGGGAGAGUGGAAUUCCUGGUGGAGCGGUGAAAUGCGUUGAUAUCAGGAGGAACGUCGGAGGCGUAGGCGACUCUCUGGGCCGAACCUGACGCUGAGGUGCGAAAGCUAGGGGAGCAAACGGGAUUAGAUACCCCGGUAGUCCUAGCCGUAAACGAUGGGCACUAAGUAGGGGGGGUAAUAUCCUCUCUGCCGGAGCAAAAGUGUUAAGUGCCCCGCCUGGGGAGUAUGGUCGCAAGGCUGAAACUCAAAGGAAUUGACGGGGGCUCGCACAAGCGGUGGAGCAUGUGGUUUAAUUCGAAGCAACGCGAAGAACCUUACCUGGGUUUGACAUUCUGGGAUUAGCAUGCUGAAAGGUGUGUGACGGUCCUUAGGGACAGGAACCAGAACAGGUGUUGCAUGGCAGUCGUCAGCUCGUGCCGUGAGGUGUUGGGUUAAGUCCCAUAACGAGCGAAACCUUUGUCCUUAGUUGCCAACAGGUAAAGCUGGGGACUCUAAGGAGACUGCAGACGUCAAGUCUGAGGAAGGUGGAGACGACGUCAAGUCAUCAUGGCCCUUAUGCCCAGGGCUACACACGUGCUACAAUGGCCGGUACAAAGGGAAGCGAGGCCGCGAGGUGGAGCAAAUCCCAAAAAGCCGGUCUCAGUUCGGAUUGUGGGCUGCAAUUCGCCCACAUGAAGCUGGAAUCGCUAGUAAUCGUGGGUCAGCAAUACCACGGUGAAUGUGUUCCCGAGCCUUGUACACACCGCCCGUCAAGCCACCGAAGCAGGGGUAGCCUGAAGUCACUGACCCAACCUUUCGGGGAGGGAGGUGCCCAAGGAGACUUCUGUGACGGGGACUAAGUCGGAACAAGGUA
RNAcentral lists this ribosomal RNA (1411 nucleotides) under metagenome. RNAcentral describes it as "bacterial SSU rRNA". It matches the Rfam family "Bacterial small subunit ribosomal RNA", at positions 122 to 1498 of the family's 1533-position model. The record is from RNAcentral.